GACGGAGGGGGCUAGCGUUGUUCGGAAUGACUGGGCGUAAAGGGCGCGUAGGCUGUUAAUCAAGUCAGGUGUGAAAGCCUUGGGCUUAACCCGAGAAUAGCGCUUGAUACUGAUUAACUAGAGGUUGGAAGAGAAAAGCGGAAUUCCUAGUGUAGAGGUGAAAUUCGUAGAUAUUAGGAAGAACACCAGAGGCGAAGGCGGCUUUUUGGUCCAAAUCUGACGCUGAGGCGCGAAAGCGUGGGGAGCAAACAGG
This 253-nucleotide ribosomal RNA is filed under the name uncultured bacterium. RNAcentral describes it as "partial 16S ribosomal RNA". It matches the Rfam family "Bacterial small subunit ribosomal RNA", at positions 524 to 776 of the family's 1533-position model. The record is from RNAcentral.